This 497-nucleotide ribosomal RNA is filed under the name uncultured bacterium. RNAcentral's name for it is "partial 16S ribosomal RNA". It matches the Rfam family "Bacterial small subunit ribosomal RNA", at positions 28 to 507 of the family's 1533-position model. The record is from RNAcentral.
GACGAACGCUGGCGGCGUGCCUAAUACAUGCAAGUUGAGCGCUGAAGGUUGGUACUUGUACCAACUGGAUGAGCAGCGAACGGGUGAGUAACGCGUGGGGAAUCUGCCUUUGAGCGGGGGACAACAUUUGGAAACGAAUGCUAAUACCGCAUAAAAACUUUAAACACAAGUUUUAAGUUUGAAAGAUGCAAUUGCAUCACUCAAAGAUGAUCCCGCGUUGUAUUAGCUAGUUGGUGAGGUAAAGGCUCACCAAGGCGAUGGUACAUAGCCGACCUGAGAGGGUGAUCGGCCACAUUGGGACUGAGACAAGGCCCAAACUCCUACGGGAGGCAGCAGUAGGGAAUCUUCGGGAAUGGACGAAAGUCUGACCGAGCAACGCCGCGUGAGUGAAGAAGGUUGUCGGAUCGUAAAACUCUGUUGGUAGAGAAGAACGUUGGUGAGAGUGGAAAGCUCAUCAAGUGACGGUAACUACCCAGAAAGGGACGGCUAACUACGUG